This 941-nucleotide long non-coding RNA is filed under the name Neogobius melanostomus (round goby). Its description in RNAcentral is "lncRNA (ENSNMLG00000011887.1)". Lineage: Eukaryota; Metazoa; Chordata; Actinopteri; Gobiiformes; Gobiidae. The record is from RNAcentral.
GGAUUUCAGGAGUUUCAAGGACUUCAGCAGUUUCAAGGUUUCAACCGUUUCAAGGAUUUCAGGAGUUUCAAGGUUUCAACAGUUUCAAGGAUUUCAGGAGUUUCAAGGAUUUCAGGAGUUUCAAGGUUUCAACAGUUUCAAGGAUUUCAGGAGUUUCAAGGAUUUCAACAGUUUCAAGGAUUCAGGAGUUUCAAGGUUUCAACAGUUUAAGGAUUUCAGGAGUUUCAAGGUUUCAACAGUUUCAAGGAUUUCAACAGUUUCAAGGAUUUCAGGAGUUUCAAGGUUUCAACAGUUUCAAGGAUUUCAGGAGUUUCAAGGAUUUCAACAGUUUCAAGGAUUUCAGGAGUUUCAAGGUUUCAACAGCUUUAAGGAUUUCAGGAGUUUCAAGGUUUCAACAGUUUCAAGGAUUUCAGGAGUUUCAAGGACUUCAGCAGUUUCAAGAGUUUCAAGGAUUUCAGGAGUUUCAAGGAUUUCAACAGUUUCAAUGAUUUCAGGAGUUUCAAGGUUUCAACAGUUUCAAGGAUUUCAACAGUUUCAAGGAUUUCAGGAAUUUCAAGGCUUCAACAGCUUUAAGGAUUUCAGGAGUUUCAAGGUUUCAACAGUUUCAAGGAUUUCAGGAGUUUCAAGGUUUCAACAGUUUCAAGGAUUUCAGGAGUUUCAAGGUUUCAACAGUUUCAAGGUUUCAACAGUUUCAAGGAUUUCAACAGUUUCAAGGAUUUUAGGAGUUUCAAGGUUUCAACAGUGUCAAGGAUUUCAGGAGUUUCAAGGUUUCAACAGUUUCAAGGUUUCAACAGUUUCAAAGUUUCAACAGUUUCAAGGACUUCAGGAGUUUCAAAGAUUUCUGCAUUAGAUCUGUUCCGCAGUCAAUCGCAAUGGCGCAGCCAUUGCAACAGUUUCUAGUUAUUAUUAUUAUUAUUAUUUAUUUAUUUUUUCUUCUCUGU